This 497-nucleotide ribosomal RNA is filed under the name uncultured bacterium. RNAcentral's name for it is "partial 16S ribosomal RNA". It matches the Rfam family "Bacterial small subunit ribosomal RNA", at positions 28 to 507 of the family's 1533-position model. The record is from RNAcentral.
GAUGAACGCUGGCGGCGUGCCUAAUACAUGCAAGUCGAGCGAACAGACGAGGAGCUUGCUCCUCUGACGUUAGCGGCGGACGGGUGAGUAACACGUGGAUAACCUACCUAUAAGACUGGGAUAACUUCGGGAAACCGGAGCUAAUACCGGAUAAUAUAUUGAACCGCAUGGUUCAAUAGUGAAAGACGGUUUUGCUGUCACUUAUAGAUGGAUCCGCGCCGCAUUAGCUAGUUGGUAAGGUAACGGCUUACCAAGGCAACGAUGCGUAGCCGACCUGAGAGGGUGAUCGGACACACUGGAACUGGGACACGGUCCAGACUCCUACGGGAGGCAGCAGAAGGGAAUCUUCCGCAAUGGGCGAAAGCCUGACGGAGCAACGCCGCGUGAGUGAUGAAGGUCUUCGGAUCGUAAAACUCUGUUAUUAGGGAAGAACAAAUGUGUAAGUAACUAUGCACGUCUUGACGGUACCUAAUCAGAAAGCCACGGCUAACUACGUG